AAUAUUUUCCAGAACACAGGUAAAAUCUCAUUCAUUCUAAGGAAAAUGUCUUCCGAUUUUUUUUCUGUAAGACAUUUUCCAACUCUCACCAUGUUAGUUUCUCCUUCUUUCUUCCGUUCUUCAUCCCUUCUCCUUCUUCAUCAGGUAACUUUCCUCCUUCUACUUCUUCCUUUCUUUAUCUUUUAUAAUCUCUUCCGUUUUUCCUAAGCUGUGUCCGUCGCAUAUCUUCUCUUGGCUUAAGGUUGCUCAACCACCCAGUGAUUCUGUUUCAAGCCUUAGCUUCAGUCCCAAGGCCAAUUUCUUGAUUGCUACUUCAUGGGAUAAUCAGGUGAGAUGUUGCUAGUACGCCAAAGGCAUCAAUUACUCAUGAUCAGUCGGUUUUGUGCUCAACUUGGAAUGAUGAGGGGAUGAUAGUCUGUUCUAGAGGCUGUGACAAGCAGGUCAAAAUGUGGCCUUUAUUAUCUGGUGGUCAACCAAUGACAGUUGCCAUGCAUGAUGCCCCUAUUAAAGAAGUUGCUUGGAUCCCAGAAAUGAACCUAUACUGGGAUACAAGGCAGUCAAACCUAGUGCAUACUCAACAACUUCUUGAUCGCUGCUAUGCACUCACAGUGAAAUAACCAUUGAUGGUUGUUGCUACCGUAGAUAGGAAUCUGAUAGUCUUUAACUUGCAGAACCCUUAGAGCAAUAUGAGAGGGAUAAGGCUCGAGUCCUUGUUCACUGCAUGUCAGGAAAAAAUAGGUCACCAGCUAUUGUAGUAGCUUUCUUGAUGAAAUCUAAAGGAUGGAGGCUUCCACAAAGCUACCAGUGGGUGAAAGAACGGAGACCAUCUGUUGAUAUAAGUCAAGUCUGGAUUGAGAUCAAAUACAACAUAGUCAGGUCGGACAUCAACUGCAAGCUCUUCAGUGAAGUUGAAAUCACUAAAUAGGAAACGCCAAACUGGUGGAGAUCCUGUAAGUACACAAGAAUUAGUUGUAAAUUACAAGCAAACAAAGAGCUUUGGUAUUUUGUUAGUUUGAUAUUGGAUAUUUGAUUUGGUUGGUUUUAGUAGAGUUUGUUCUGGUAUAGCCACUGUUUUGUUAGUUUGAUAUUGGAUAUUGGAUAUUUUGGUGUUGGUUGAUAUUGCUAUAGGCACUUUGUUAUUGUUGGGUA
This is an RNA transcript of Gossypium arboreum, 1149 nucleotides long. It is a transcript of the gene named protein RAE1-like, with no coding region annotated. NCBI's taxonomy places the organism in Eukaryota, Viridiplantae, Streptophyta, Magnoliopsida, Malvales, Malvaceae. The transcript is spliced from 8 exons. The record is from RefSeq and is a predicted model, not a curated record.